GGCGAGUGAAGUGGGAAAAGCUCAACUUUGAAAUCUGGCAGCUUCGCUGUCCGAGUUGUAGUCUCGAGAAGUGUUUUCCGCGCUGGACCAUGUAUGAGUCUGUUGGAAUACAGCGUCAUAGAGGGUGAGAACCCCGUUCAUGACAUGACUUCCAGUGCUCUGUGAUACACUUUCGAUGAGUCGAGUUGUUUGGGAAUGCAGCUCAAAUUGGGUGGUAAAUUCCAUCUAAAGCUAAAUAUUGGGGAGAGACCGAUAGCAAACAAGUACCGUGAGGGAAAGAUGAAAAGCACUUUGGAAAGAGAGUUAAAAGUACGUGAAAUUGUUGAAAGGGAAACGCUUGAAGUCAGACGUGCGCAGCUUCGGCUAAUGCAGGCUAGCAUCGGUUUUGCGAGUCGGAUAAAGGUAAAGGGAAGGUGGCAGCCACGGCUGUGUUAUAGCCCUCUACUGAAUACGGAUUGCGAGACCGAGGGAUGCAGCGCGCCGAAAGGCAAAGGGUAGCACCCUUUUCGCGCUCAGGAUGCUGGUGAAAUGGCUUUAAACGA
RNAcentral lists this ribosomal RNA (542 nucleotides) under Sakaguchia meli. Its description in RNAcentral is "eukaryotic LSU rRNA". It matches the Rfam family "Eukaryotic large subunit ribosomal RNA", at positions 88 to 647 of the family's 3401-position model. Lineage: Eukaryota; Fungi; Basidiomycota; Cystobasidiomycetes; Sakaguchiales; Sakaguchiaceae. The record is from RNAcentral.